This 497-nucleotide ribosomal RNA is filed under the name uncultured bacterium. RNAcentral's name for it is "partial 16S ribosomal RNA". It matches the Rfam family "Bacterial small subunit ribosomal RNA", at positions 28 to 507 of the family's 1533-position model. The record is from RNAcentral.
GAUGAACGCUGGCGGCGUGCCUAAUACAUGCAAGUCGAGCGAACGGACGAGAAGCUUGCUUCUCUGAUGUUAGCGGCGGACGGGUGAGUAACACGUGGAUAACCUACCUAUAAGACUGGGAAAACUUCGGGAAACCGGAGCUAAUACCGGAUAAUAUUUUGAACCGCAUGGUUCAAAAGUGAAAGACGGUCUUGCUGUCACUUAUAGAUGGAUCCGCGCUGCAUUAGCUAGUUGGUAAGGUAACGGCUUACCAAGGCAACGAUGCAUAGCCGACCUGAGAGGGUGAUCGGCCACACUGGAACUGAGACACGGUCCAGACUCCUACGGGAGGCAGCAGUAGGGAAUCUUCCGCAAUGGGCGAAAGCCUGACGGAGCAACGCCGCGUGAGUGAUGAAGGUCUUCGGAUCGUAAAACUCUGUUAUUAGGGAAGAACAUAUGUGUAAGUAACUGUGCACAUCUUGACGGUACCUAAUCAGAAAGCUACGGCUAACUACGUG